GACGUAGGGUGCGAGCGUUGUCCGGAUUUAUUGGGCGUAAAGAGCUCGUAGGCGGCUCGUCGCGUCGACCGUGAAAACCUGCGGCUUAACUGCGGGCUUGCGGUUGAUACGGGCGGGCUAGAGUUCGGUAGGGGAGACUGGAAUUCCUGGUGUAGCGGUGAAAUGCGCAGAUAUCAGGAGGAACACCGAUGGCGAAGGCAGGUCUCUGGGCCACUACUGACGCUGAGAAGCGAAAGCAUGGGGAGCGAACAGG
This 253-nucleotide ribosomal RNA is filed under the name uncultured bacterium. Its description in RNAcentral is "partial 16S ribosomal RNA". It matches the Rfam family "Bacterial small subunit ribosomal RNA", at positions 524 to 776 of the family's 1533-position model. The record is from RNAcentral.